CCUAGAGUUGUAGGCUUUGCCUGCUAUCUCUUACCCAUGUCUUUUGAGUACCUUCGUUUCCUCGGCGGGUCCGCCCGCCGAUUGGACAAUUUAAACCAUUUGCAGUUGCAGUCAGCGUCUGAAAAAACUUAAUAGUUA
Molecule: unclassified non-coding RNA, 138 nt
Filed under: soil metagenome
Description: partial internal transcribed spacer 1
Source: RNAcentral